CAGCAACAGAGUCAGCAGUAAACCCAGUACUAAAACAGAAAGUCACCAUACAAAUGUUCAAAGAUACAGAAGGGUGUUCCUUUCUUUAGAGGAGAUGAAACGACGUCCAUCAGAGGACUAGAUUACGGCGCGAUGACACUCAGUAACUGCAGUAGGACACACUGCACUCACAAAGGAGAGCAGGAGGAGCAAGCUUUUCCUGUAAAGGGCCACCCGAUAGUGAAACUCAUCGUUAAGAAGAUAACGCUCCAGACACAAACUAGUAUCUCGGGAAACUGAAGCCAAGC
Molecule: long non-coding RNA, 287 nt
Organism: Tupaia belangeri chinensis (Chinese tree shrew)
Lineage: Eukaryota; Metazoa; Chordata; Mammalia; Scandentia; Tupaiidae
Exons: 3
Source: RefSeq, a predicted model, not a curated record